UUGAUCCUACGGGAAGCAGCAGUGAGGAAUAUUGCACAAUGGGGGAAACCCUGAUGCAGCAACGCCGCGUGAAGGAAGACGGUUUUCGGAUUGUAAACUUCUGUUCUUAGUGAAGAAGAAUGACGGUAGCUAAGGAGCAAGCCACGGCUAACUACGUGCCAGCAGCCGCGGUAAUACGUAGGUGGCAAGCGUUGUCCGGAAUUACUGGGUGUAAAGGGAGCGCAGGCGGGAAGGCAAGCCAGCUGUGAAAACUACGGGCUUAACUU
This 266-nucleotide ribosomal RNA is filed under the name uncultured bacterium. RNAcentral's name for it is "partial 16S ribosomal RNA". It matches the Rfam family "Bacterial small subunit ribosomal RNA", at positions 333 to 615 of the family's 1533-position model. The record is from RNAcentral.